CAGCUAUGAAGUUGCAAAGAUUUGUAGUGAUGAUUUUCUUGAUGGUAGUAUUCCAGAUAGUUACAGUGGACGGAAUGAUGGAAGGCAGUGGAGGCUUCUUUUUGCCAAAUACUGGAAUGGGGUCAUUGCAGGAAAUUCUACCAGAGACAGAUAGGCCUGCUGAAGAUUUCCCUAUGAAUAGAUCAACACAGGUGAGUAUUACAGUUUUGCAUGUUCAUGAUUUUAUAUCAGGAUUAUUGAAACAAUGAAACUUGAUGGAAUAAUUUGCUAUUUUGCAAAAAUGGCGUAGACAUUAAUGCAAAAAUAACUUAUUUCAUUAAACAAUUGUGAUAUCAUCCUGAUAUAUUUCAAAAACCAUAGUCCAAAUAAAUCGUACAUUGAUA
Molecule: long non-coding RNA, 383 nt
Organism: Magallana angulata
Lineage: Eukaryota; Metazoa; Mollusca; Bivalvia; Ostreida; Ostreidae
Exons: 4
Source: RefSeq, a predicted model, not a curated record